Molecule: ribosomal RNA, 253 nt
Filed under: uncultured prokaryote
Description: partial 16S ribosomal RNA
Rfam family: Bacterial small subunit ribosomal RNA
Source: RNAcentral
UACGGAGGGUGCAAGCGUUGUCCGGAAUCACUGGGCGUAAAGGGCGCGUAGGCGGCUUGAUAAGUCACUUGUGAAAUCCCGUUGCUCAACGACGGGGCCGCAGGUGAGACUGUCUGGCUGGAGCUUGGUAGGGGCGAGUGGAAUUCCCGGUGUAGUGGUGAAAUGCGUAGAUAUCGGGAGGAACACCAGUGGCGAAGGCGGCUUUCUGGCCUGUUCUUGACGCUGAGGCGCGAAAGCUAGGGUAGCAAACGGG